Molecule: long non-coding RNA, 2003 nt
Organism: Daktulosphaira vitifoliae (grape phylloxera)
Lineage: Eukaryota; Metazoa; Arthropoda; Insecta; Hemiptera; Phylloxeridae
Exons: 3
Source: RefSeq, a predicted model, not a curated record
CGCGCCGAACCGCUAUGGUCAACCGCGGGACCAUUCGUGGUCGUAGCGAUUUAGCGCGUUUUCAUUCCAACUUGUAUAUGAUAUACAAUUUCCAUAAUACAUCAAUUUGACUAAAAUUUUCUCAAUAAAUUCGGAUACACAGUCUCUAGGAAAUUACAAUAGGAUAAAUCUUUUAUUACGUAUGUGUUCACGUGUUUACCUUGGUUACGGCUGUAUAAAGAUUCGAAAAUACUAGGGGAUUAUGUGGGCAAUAUACAAAACUGAAAAAAUGUAUCAAGCGUUUUCUUAGGACACUAGACUUACACAUGACUUACAAAUAAAUAUCAUUAUUCUGUUAUUAACGAUUGGCGGUAUUGCUCAGAAAUGUUAAUCACGGACAGAUCGAAGGACCAGGGCUAUAGCAAAUAGUAGUUUUUUUUUCUAUUUUCUAUGUUGUCUAUAUGAUUCUGUAACGUAUGUAAGUUGUUUGUAACACGUUUCGUUGUGUUGCUGUUAUACCUCCAUAAAAUCGAGGUCGGUACUGUAAAUUAAUAUCGCAAUAGAAACUUCGCCUGCAGCUACGAGUAGAAAAAUGACUAAGUAAAAAAAAUUAACUAUUUGUAGUUAUUACGCAUCUUGUGAGUGUUCAGCAUCAUAAAGUUGUAAUAUUAUUUGUGGUGUUAAGUUAAAUUUUUGAUUUACUAGGCAAGAUCAAAUAAAAUUUGCUCAACAGUUGUUAAAACAGAGUAGAAAAUGACAAAAAAUGUUUCCUAAUUUAUCAGCAACUUAUAUGAGAAUUAGUAAAAGUUCAAAUGCCUUUAGGGAAAUGAAAAGGACACUGUUAGUACAUUAUUAUUUAUCUGCCGACUUGACAAAGGUGCAUUUAGGUUCAAAACAAAACAAUGGACACUAUUGUCAGAUAUUCAUAAGAAAUAUGACUCUCUAGGAUUAUUAACUCAACGAAUUAAUUUAAAGGAAAAAUGUUUUUAUAACAUUUAUGGACAUUAAAAUUAUAAUGGAAUAUAGCAGUCUUAUCAGAUAUUCAAGUGUGAUGGACCAAAUUUUAUAGUAGUUGAAAAAUUGUCUAUUUCAAGAAGAGCAUUAUGUAGCACCACUUGUGGCUAUAUUAGUUUAUGCGGCAACAUCUAUUCCACGGUUAACAAUGUUAUACACUUCAAAGUCACGUGACUUAUAACCAUUUCUCGCUUUGAAUUUUGUGCUGCUGUUCUGUUGAUGGAACUAUCAUAUGAAAUGCUAGCUGAAAUUUUAGAUUGCUCCCUGUGAAACUAGUGAUAAUGGCUCAGUCCCAAGAUCAAUGGUUAAAAACAUACUCAAGUAGACCACAUAAGUUCGAUUAACAGCUUGGUUACUCAGUUUUAAAAAUAACUAUGUUAGUAAAUUACAAGUGAAGAAGUGUAAUUUUACCAUUAAGUAAUCAACUCGGCGGUUAUGAUUAACAGAAGCUAAGUAUUUUGCUAAUGAUUAUUAGUGGUUGAUUAAGGUACAUGUCAUCAUAACAUUCAAAAAUACACUCUAUUGUUUUAUCAGCAAAGUAUAGCGUAACUUUGCUCAUUUUCAGUAUGAACGAAACUUUUACAGAUUAGUUCGCAAGGUUUACUUGCAAAUAUUUUACGCCCUGUAAUGAUCUCAAUCUCGUCCGGUCUACAGUUUAAUGAGUGAAAAAUUCUUUUAACAAUUUUUAUGGUAAAUUUUCAUUGAAUCUUUUUCUUCACCUUUCUUACUAAGUAUUUUUUAGUAACUCUUGGGAAUAGAACUAAAAAAUUGAUAAAAUAAUAAUAAAACAAUAAGGAAAAUAUAUUACUUCCUAACAGAUUUUAAACUUACACUUCUAACAAAGAAUAAGAAUUAAGUAUGUUUGUAAAAUCAUAAAUGAUUUUACUAUAUCUUAGGAGUGUAUCUAGAAAUUUAUCUUGAUUGUUCUUAGUUUACGCGAGUAUUUUCAAACCUCUAAAUAUAAGAGCACAAUACCUAAAAAAAAUCCGUAACUCAUAUUAUAAUAUGAU